Oncorhynchus tshawytscha (Chinook salmon) is the source of this 2508-nucleotide long non-coding RNA. The record is from Ensembl. Lineage: Eukaryota; Metazoa; Chordata; Actinopteri; Salmoniformes; Salmonidae.
UUUAUAUAUAUUCAUACCCUUUAGUCAAUACAUGUUAGAAUCUCAUUUGGCAGCGAUUACAGCUGUAAGUCUUUCUGGAUACAAUAUUAGAUUUAGCAAUAUUUGCAAACUUUUCUUUUAAAAAUUUCUUCAAGCUCUGUGUUACGGGUUUUGGUUUUCCCAUUAACGUUGGAUUUAUAGCACGUAGGGUGCACCGAUUGGUGUCACCUCGUUAGUCAGUAGGUGUUACACCUGUGCAGGUUGCCAUCUUGUUAGUGGGAAGGUGCUUCACCUGUGCUGGACCGGGUGCUAUUUCAGAGUGGCUGGCCCAGUGCUCCAGUUACCUUGAGAGAUGUGGAGGGUCAACACCUUUAGUUAGCUCGCCCAAUUUGAAUUCUAGAAAACCAUUCCUUUAUCUGAUUUUGUUUUUGCUCCACCAUUUUGGUUUGCUUCCUGUCUUUAAGUUUGGUGUGGGUUUUUAUGUUGUUUUCCCUCAUCUUGGGCAAAUUUAGUGUGUGCUCAUGUUGUGUGUCUUUUAGGUCCCAGUUGUUGUUGCUAGUCAACUUUCUGUGGACACCUCCAUGAGUGUUUUUCAGAACCCCUCCUAAAACCAUCCCUGUUUUGUUUUGGUUGUUGUCAGUGACUCUUUGUUAGUUCCCGCUUCUGUUUUGAGCAACAUUUUUAAAACGUUUUUCUUGCUGGGGAACAUAACAAAAUGGGGGCUCGUCUAGGAUCUUGUUUCCCAUGAGUAUGCUAGUCACUCUAGUCACCUACUCUGAAGCUGUGCCCUGAUAUUUGAGUGUUCAAAAUACAUUUUUGUGGUAGAGUUUCUGUCACUGUCAUCCACCCAAAGGGAUUAUCAGAUUGGGGGAAUCAUUUUGAAAGUUGCAUAAACACACAGGCUAAUAAAAUAAAGCCUUGGACUUCAAGUUGGAUGAAUUGGUGGAAAACGCCACAUGGGAAUUGCUAGAUAAUGGUGAAUCUGCUCGUCAUUGCAAAGCAUUGACACCCCUUUAAAAAAAAAAAAAGCAUUACACCACCCCUUUAAAAAAUAAAAAAUAGCAUUACACCACCCCUUUAAAAAAAAAAACAUUACACCACCCCUUUAAAAAAUAAAAAAUUGCAUUACACCACCCCUUUAAAAAAAUAGCAUUACACCACCCCUUAAAAAAAAAAACAUUACACCACCCCUUAAAUAAAAAAAUUAAAAAAGCAUUACAACACCCCUUUAAAAAUUAAAAAUAAAAGCAUUACAACACCCCUUUAAAAAAAAACAGCAUUACGACAUCAAGGUGGUAUCUGGUGAUCCAAAAGCAGUAGUCAAAAGAGUUUAUUGGUACUGCUUUGGUGGAGGAACAAGUGCUUUGGUUGAUGAAAACAAUGCUACGAGUAGUGGUGUGAGUCCUGUGCAACUGAGGGAUGUGCAACUGAGGGAGAUAGAACUAAAGGCACAACAUAAAUUAGAGAGUUAGAGCACAGGGAAAGACCAGAGGAGUGUGCAGCCAAACAUCAAGAAUGUCAGAUUAAGAGAGAUAGAUCUGGAAGUACUCCGAAUUCAGCCACGCCAUCUUGAACCCUCAACAGAGUUUGAUCUCGGUCUCAACAGCCGUCCUGUACCGUCUUUAUACAAAAAAAGAGAUGGGUGAUUAUUUGACUCUGAGCGGAUUGCCACAUCACUAAAAUGGCCACGGGAUAUUUAGUCACUGCUCCUCCAAAGUGUUCUGGUGGGAAAAGAUCAAAGUCUACGCUGCUGUAUCUCUUGAUCAGAGUUCAGAUUAUGACACACUGUUGAAGCUGCUAUCCGUUGGGCUUAUGAGUUGGUCCCAGAGGCAUAUAGACAACAGGUAUCUUACAAAGUCAUGUUGAGUUCGCAAGGGAACAAGCAUUUCUUUUUGAUCGGUGGUGUGGUUCUCAAGAGGUCAAGAAACUGGAGGAUUUGAAGACACUCAUACUUCUCGAGCAGUUAAAAAAAUUGCCUUCGUGAAAGGGUUGCAUUACAUUUACACUACUUUUAUGAGCACAAGGAUCUCACUCUUGAGGAAGCUGCAGUUCUUGCAGAUGAGUUUGUGUUGACACAUAAAAGUACCUUCACAAACAGAGCACCCAGUAGUUACCCCUAUGCAGGAAGCAAUCCAGAGAGGUCCCCCUCCUACUGCGAGAUUUCAGUCCUUUUCUACAGUGCCCAAAGAUAAAGAUCAUCAGAAAACUUGUUUUUCGCGUCUGCUAGUUUUUCAUUACAAUACACAUUAUCUCUCAGAAACAGCAGUUUUUUUCUUGUGGGGGCACUCCAGCCCAUUAAGUCUCUGGUGGGGACUGGUGUAUCUCCUAAACAAGAUUUUGGAUCAGAUGUGUAUGAACCCUUCAGACGGGUUCGUGUUUCUGCACAGUGGCGAUGGUGUUAAGCAGUCGGUAAAGAUACUGAAAGACACUGGGGCAGCCCAGCCCUUCAUUUUGGAGGGUGUUUUGCCUUUGCUCUGACAUUCAAGUUGGUUGAUGAUCAUUGCUAGACAGCCACAAGUCUUGCCAUUG